RNAcentral lists this ribosomal RNA (227 nucleotides) under Lacticaseibacillus rhamnosus. RNAcentral's name for it is "partial 16S ribosomal RNA". It matches the Rfam family "Bacterial small subunit ribosomal RNA", at positions 535 to 761 of the family's 1533-position model. Lineage: Bacteria; Bacillati; Bacillota; Bacilli; Lactobacillales; Lactobacillaceae. The record is from RNAcentral.
CAAGCGUUAUCCGGAUUUAUUGGGCGUAAAGCGAGCGCAGGCGGUUUUUUAAGUCUGAUGUGAAAGCCCUCGGCUUAACCGAGGAAGUGCAUCGGAAACUGGGAAACUUGAGUGCAGAAGAGGACAGUGGAACUCCAUGUGUAGCGGUGAAAUGCGUAGAUAUAUGGAAGAACACCAGUGGCGAAGGCGGCUGUCUGGUCUGUAACUGACGCUGAGGCUCGAAAGCA